UACGUAGGCAGCGAGCGUUGUUCGGAGUUACUGGGCGUAAAGGGCUCGUAGGCGGCCGACUAAGUCAGACGUGAAAUCCCCCGGCUUAACCGGGGAACUGCGUCUGAUACUGGACGGCUUGAAUUCGGGAGAGGGAUGCGGAAUUCCAGGUGUAGCGGUGAAAUGCGUAGAUAUCUGGAGGAACACCGGUGGCGAAGGCGGCAUCCUGGACCGACAUUGACGCUGAGGAGCGAAAGCCAGGGGAGCAAACGGG
Molecule: ribosomal RNA, 253 nt
Filed under: uncultured bacterium
Lineage: Bacteria
Description: partial 16S ribosomal RNA
Rfam family: Bacterial small subunit ribosomal RNA
Source: RNAcentral